GUGGGGAAUAUUGGACAAUGGGGGGAACCCUGAUCCAGCCAUGCCGCGUGUGUGAAGAAGGCCUUUUGGUUGUAAAGCACUUUAAGCGAGGAGGAGGCUACCGAGAUUAAUACUCUUGGAUAGUGGACGUUACUCGCAGAAUAAGCACCGGCUAACUCUGUGCCAGCAGCCGCGGUAAUACAGAGGGUGCAAGCGUUAAUCGGAUUUACUGGGCGUAAAGCGCGCGUAGGUGGCAAAUUAAGUCAAAUGUGAAAUCCCCGAGCUUAACUUGGGAAUUGCAUUCGAUACUGGUUGGCUAGAGUAUGGGAGAGGAUGGUAGAAUUCCAGGUGUAGCGGUGAAAUGCGUAGAGAUCUGGAGGAAUACCGAUGGCGAAGGCAGCCAUCUGGCCUAAUACUGACACUGAGGUGCGAAAGCAUGGGGAGCAAACAGGAUUAGAUACCCCAGUAGUCC
RNAcentral lists this ribosomal RNA (451 nucleotides) under uncultured bacterium. RNAcentral describes it as "partial 16S ribosomal RNA". It matches the Rfam family "Bacterial small subunit ribosomal RNA", at positions 354 to 796 of the family's 1533-position model. The record is from RNAcentral.